RNAcentral lists this ribosomal RNA (301 nucleotides) under uncultured bacterium. Its description in RNAcentral is "partial 16S ribosomal RNA". It matches the Rfam family "Bacterial small subunit ribosomal RNA", at positions 509 to 807 of the family's 1533-position model. The record is from RNAcentral.
CAGCAGCCGCGGGAAUACAGAGGGUGCAAGCGUUAAUCGGAAUUACUGGGCGUAAAGCGCGCGUAGGUGGUUCGCCAAGUUGGAUGUGAAAUCCCCGGGCUCAACCUGGGAACUGCAUUGGUGACUGCAACGCUGGAGUGCGGCAGAGGGGGAUGGAAUUCCGCGUGUAGCAGUGAAAUGCGUAGAUAUGCGGAGGAACACCGAUGGCGAAGGCAAUCCCCUGGGCCUGCACUGACGCUCAUGCACGAAAGCGUGGGGAGCAAACAGGAUUAGAUACCCGAGUAGUCCCUGUCUCUUAUAC